Molecule: ribosomal RNA, 106 nt
Organism: Nicotiana attenuata
Lineage: Eukaryota; Viridiplantae; Streptophyta; Magnoliopsida; Solanales; Solanaceae
Rfam family: Bacterial small subunit ribosomal RNA
Source: Rfam
CUACCCGUCACACUAUGGGAGCUGGCCAUGCCCGAAGUCGUUACCUUAACCGCAAGGAGGGGGAUGCCGAAGGCAGGGCUAGUGACUGGGGUGAAGUCAUAACAAG